CUCCCUGCGGGACUGCCUGGUGUCUCUGUUCCUUCCUCAUGGCUUCCCAGACAGUGUGAGUGACGACUACGUGGCCUAUCAGCUGUGGGAUACCAUCCAGGCGUUUGCCAGCAGUGUGACGGGAUCGUUGGCUACUCAUUCUCUCCUGCGUGGAUCGGGUGUGGGGGACAGUUCAGCCACGGUGGCUGCGGCCACGGUCACAUGGAUCCUGA
This is a long non-coding RNA of Nanorana parkeri, 212 nucleotides long. RefSeq lists it as uncharacterized. The record is from RefSeq and is a predicted model, not a curated record. NCBI's taxonomy places the organism in Eukaryota, Metazoa, Chordata, Amphibia, Anura, Dicroglossidae. The transcript has 3 exons.